GACGAACGCUGGCGGCGUGCCUAACACAUGCAAGUCGAACGGUGAAGCCCCAGCUUGCUGGAGUGGAUCAGUGGCGAACGGGUGAGUAACACGUGAGCAACCUGCCACUGACUCUGGAAUAAGCGCUGGAAACGGCGUCUAAUACUGGAUACGAGAAGGGUCCGCAUGGGCACUUUCUGGAAAGUUUUUCGGUUGGGGAUGGGCUCGCGGUCUAUCAGCUCGUUGGUGAGGUAAUGGCUCACCAAGGCGACGACCGAUAGCCGGCCUGAGAGGGCGACCAGGCAGAGUGGGACUGAGAAACGGACGAGAAUAGGAGGGGAGGAAGCAGUGGGGGAUAUGGGAAAGUGGGGGAGAGCAGGAUCAAGAAAUGCCGGGUGAGUGAUGAAGGCAUUAGGGUUGUAAAGCUCUGUGAAACGGGAUGAGAAUGACAGUACCGGGAGAAGAAGCUAGGGCUAACUCCGUG
RNAcentral lists this ribosomal RNA (463 nucleotides) under uncultured bacterium. Its description in RNAcentral is "partial 16S ribosomal RNA". It matches the Rfam family "Bacterial small subunit ribosomal RNA", at positions 28 to 507 of the family's 1533-position model. The record is from RNAcentral.